Molecule: ribosomal RNA, 293 nt
Filed under: uncultured bacterium
Lineage: Bacteria
Description: partial 16S ribosomal RNA
Rfam family: Archaeal small subunit ribosomal RNA
Source: RNAcentral
GUGCCAGCCGCCGCGGUAAUACCGGCAGCUCAAGUGAUGGCCACUCUUAUUGGGCCUAAAGCGUCCGUAGCUGGCCGCGCAAGUCCGUCGGGAAAUCCAUCAGCCCAACUGAUGGGCGUCCGGCGGAAACUGCACGGCUUGGGACCGGAAGGCUCGAGAGGUACGUCCGGGGUAGGAGUGAAAUCCCGUAAUCCUGGACGGACCGCCGAUGGCGAAAGCACGUCGCGAAGACGGAUCCGACAGUGAGGGACGAAAGCUAGGGUCUCGAACCGGAUUAGAAACCCCUGUAGUCC